CAGUCGCCGCGGGAAUACGUAGGUGGCAAGCGUUGUCCGGAAUUAUUGGGCGUAAAGCGCGCGCAGGUGGUUUAAUAAGUCUGAUGUGAAAGCCCACGGCUCAACCGUGGAGGGUCAUUGGAAACUGUUAAACUUGAGUGCAGGAGAGAAAGGUGGAAUUCCUAGUGUAGCGGUGAAAUGCGUAGAGAUUAGGAGGAACACCAGUGGCGAAGGCGGCUUUUUGGCCUGUAACUGACACUGAGGUGCGAAAGCGUGGGGAGCGAACAGGAUUAGAUACCCCGGUAGUCCCUGUCUCUUAUAC
Molecule: ribosomal RNA, 301 nt
Filed under: uncultured bacterium
Lineage: Bacteria
Description: partial 16S ribosomal RNA
Rfam family: Bacterial small subunit ribosomal RNA
Source: RNAcentral